This 981-nucleotide long non-coding RNA is filed under the name Gossypium barbadense (sea-island cotton). Its description in RNAcentral is "long non-coding RNA (GBAR_LNC013044)". Lineage: Eukaryota; Viridiplantae; Streptophyta; Magnoliopsida; Malvales; Malvaceae. The record is from RNAcentral.
UUUUUUGAAAAUAGCAAAUAGCUAAUACUUUAUUGCUGUGGGAAAAAUUCAAACGGUUACAGGCCUAGUAACCAGAAACUAACAGCUGUAAACAAAAUAUAGGGUACCUAAACGGUACAUUUAAAAGCUAAACAAAAGAAAGAAAAACCAUUAAAUCAACAGUACGAAAUGAGCCGACAGAAAAUAAAAAGCGCAGGCCUGAGUCCCUUUCUCACUUUUGCUUGAAAAAUCCCUCUUUUUCAGCCAAAUGAGAGACCAUUCUUCUUCUAAUAUCAAUCUAUGAAAUCUCCGUCUCUGUUAACAACUCGAGCUCUUCGGGCCAAUCCCUUGCCAACCCGUCCGGACUCUGAUUCACCAUUCAACGACCGUUAGCAUCUCGACUUCUCUCGCAAUCUACCAGUUCAACCACCUCGAUCGGUGCCUCCUCUAUCCAGUAUUGGGGGCUUUCGUAUUGUCUUCCUGCUCGCGCCAUUCCACGAACCGCGUUGUUAGCCUCCCUGGGUAUAUAUUUGAAGCUCAGACUUUUGAAUCUACGGGUUCUCCCUUUUAUUUCUCUAAUUAAACUACUUAUGUUCGACAGGUCAUCAUCAGGGGAUUUAAGUUUGCGUAUGACAGUCAACGCGUCUCCUUCCACCACAACGUCUUGGAAGCCCAUUUCCUCUGCCAUAGUGACUGCUUGUAGACACGCUCUUGCCUCCGCCAUAACUGGCUCUGGAACAUUCUUCCAUGGAAAGUGUAGAUUUUUAAAAUUAUAUAAAUAAUCGGCUAACACAAGGGAUAUGAAAUGUGAAUAAUUUAUUUAAUUGAUUUUAAAAUUUAAAUUUUCAAUAAUAAAAUAAUAAAUUUAGGAUUUUCAAUAAUGAGAUAAAUAAAUAUAAUUAAAUUGUAUGCAUUAUUUUAGUUUAUACCGUUUCUUUUUUACCUUGACCAAUAUUUAAAAAAGAUUUUUUUGUGAUCAAAAUAAAAGUGACCUAAAAGUUG